RNAcentral lists this ribosomal RNA (301 nucleotides) under uncultured bacterium. RNAcentral describes it as "partial 16S ribosomal RNA". It matches the Rfam family "Bacterial small subunit ribosomal RNA", at positions 509 to 807 of the family's 1533-position model. The record is from RNAcentral.
CAGUCGCCACGGUAAUACGUAGGUGGCGAGCGUUGUCCGGAAUUAUUGGGCGUAAAGGGCUCGCAGGCGGUUUCUUAAGUCUGAUGUGAAAGCCCCCGGCUCAACCGGGGAGGGUCAUUGGAAACUGGGAAACUUGAGUGCAGAAGAGGAGAGUGGAAUUCCACGUGUAGCGGUGAAAUGCGUAGAGAUGUGGAGGAACACCAGUGGCGAAGGCGACUCUCUGGUCUGUAACUGACGCUGAGGAGCGAAAGCGUGGGGAGCGAACAGGAUUAGAUACCCCCGUAGUCCCUGUCUCUUAUAC